UUGUCACUAUAAUAACCAAACUUAUACCUAUAGCAUUUUCUUCUCCUUUUGCUAGAAUAAUGAUUUUCUUUUUUAAUAAGAAACUGGGAACCAUGGCUAGUUCAAGGGAACCUGAGAACUACAACCAAGGAACAUCGUUCGAAGAAAUAAAUAAAUCCAAUAUGGAGAUAGAACUGGCAAGGAGAGAUUUCUUGAGAUCACAUCUAUGCUGCAAUAAUGGCAGAAAGAAAACGGCACAUAGCAGCAGUGUCAAGUUGCUGCCAAAGUGCCAGGCAGACUAAGUAAGUUUCACUAGCAGAGGAUUUUCCACAAUAACUCAAUCUGUAGGUGAUACUUGCUUCAAAUGUACGUGAUAUAAAGAAUUUAAGUAUUAUUUAUAAGUGAUUAGUUUAUAUUUUUAGAAUGUUCAUUUGAUA
Arachis ipaensis is the source of this 416-nucleotide non-coding RNA. Lineage: Eukaryota; Viridiplantae; Streptophyta; Magnoliopsida; Fabales; Fabaceae. The record is from RefSeq and is a predicted model, not a curated record.